RNAcentral lists this ribosomal RNA (484 nucleotides) under uncultured bacterium. RNAcentral describes it as "partial 16S ribosomal RNA". It matches the Rfam family "Bacterial small subunit ribosomal RNA", at positions 30 to 507 of the family's 1533-position model. The record is from RNAcentral.
AUUGAACGCUGGCGGCAGGCCUAACACAUGCAAGUCGAGCGGAUGAAGGGAGCUUGCUCCUGGAUUCGGCGGCGGACGGGUGAGUAAUGCCUAGGAAUCUGCCUGGUAGUGGGGGAUAACGUCCGGAAACGGGCGCUAAUACCGCAUACGUCCUGAGGGAGAAAGUGGGGGAUCUUUGGACCUCACGCUAUCAGAUGAGCCUAGGUCGGAUUAGCUAGUUGGUGGGGUAAAGGCCUACCAAGGCGACGAUCCGUAACUGGUCUGAGAGGAUGAUCAGUCACACUGGAACUGAGACGCGGUCCAGACUCCUACGGGAGGCAGCAGUGGGGAAUAUUGGACAAUGGGCGAAAGCCUGAUCCAGCCAUGCCGCGUGUGUGAAGAAGGUCUUCGGAUUGUAAAGCACUUUAAGUUGGGAGGAAGGGCAGUAAGUUAAUACCUUGCUGUUUUGACGUUACCAACAGAAUAAGCACCGGCUAACUUCGUG